Molecule: transfer RNA, 72 nt
Filed under: Hallella mizrahii
Lineage: Bacteria; Pseudomonadati; Bacteroidota; Bacteroidia; Bacteroidales; Prevotellaceae
Also listed under: 1 other name
Description: Prevotellaceae bacterium LKV-178-WT-2A tRNA-Arg
Rfam family: tRNA
About the family: Transfer RNA (tRNA) molecules are approximately 80 nucleotides in length.
Source: RNAcentral
GCUCUCAUAGUUCAAUGGAUAGAACGUAGGUUUCCUAAACCUUUGAUCUGGGUUCGAUUCCCAGUGAGAGUA